AGCUUUUUAGUUUAUGUAAAAUUUUUGUUUGUGGUACAAAAGAAUUAAAUGCUAU
RNAcentral lists this transfer RNA (55 nucleotides) under Oesophagostomoides stirtoni. RNAcentral describes it as "tRNA-His". Lineage: Eukaryota; Metazoa; Nematoda; Chromadorea; Rhabditida; Strongylidae. The record is from RNAcentral.